UCGGAGAGUUUGAUCCUGGCUCAGGAUGAACGCUGGCGGCGUGCCUAAUACAUGCAAGUCGAGCGAACUGAUUAGAAGCUUGCUUCUAUGACGUUAGCGGCGGACGGGUGAGUAACACGUGGGCAACCUGCCUGUAAGACUGGGAUAACUUCGGGAAACCGAAGCUAAUACCGGAUAGGAUCUUCUCCUUCAUGGGAGAUGAUUGAAAGAUGGUUUCGGCUAUCACUUACAGAUGGGCCCGCGGUGCAUUAGCUAGUUGGUGAGGUAACGGCUCACCAAGGCAACGAUGCAUAGCCGACCUGAGAGGGUGAUCGGCCACACUGGGACUGAGACACGGCCCAGACUCCUACGGGAGGCAGCAGGGAAUCUUCCGCAAUGGACGAAAGUCUGACGGAGCAACGCCGCGUGAGUGAUGAAGGCUUUCGGGUCGUAAAACUCUGUUGUUAGGG
RNAcentral lists this ribosomal RNA (449 nucleotides) under Priestia megaterium. RNAcentral's name for it is "bacterial SSU rRNA". It matches the Rfam family "Bacterial small subunit ribosomal RNA", at positions 1 to 444 of the family's 1533-position model. Lineage: Bacteria; Bacillati; Bacillota; Bacilli; Caryophanales; Bacillaceae. The record is from RNAcentral.